RNAcentral lists this ribosomal RNA (497 nucleotides) under uncultured bacterium. Its description in RNAcentral is "partial 16S ribosomal RNA". It matches the Rfam family "Bacterial small subunit ribosomal RNA", at positions 28 to 507 of the family's 1533-position model. The record is from RNAcentral.
GAUGAACGCUGGCGGCGUGCCCAAUACAUGCAAGUCGAGCGAACGGACGAGAAGCUUGCUUUUCUGAUGUUAGCGGCGGACGGGUGAGUAACACGUGGAUAACCUACCUAUAAGACUGGGAUAACUUCGGGAAACCGGAGCUAAUACCGGAUAAUAUUUUGAACCGCAUGGUUCAAAAGUGAAAGACGGUCUUGCUGUCACUUAUAGAUGGAUCCGCGCUGCAUUAGCUAGUUGGUAAGGUAACGGCUUACCAAGGCAACGAUGCAUAGCCGACCUGAGAGGGUGAUCGGCCACACUGGAACUGAGACACGGUCCAGACUCCUACGGGAGGCAGCAGUAGGGAAUCUUCCGCAAUGGGCGAAAGCCUGACGGAGCAACGCCGCGUGAGUGAUGAAGGCCUUCGGAUCGUAAAACUCUGUUAUUAGGGAAGAACAUAUGUGUAAGUAACUGUGCACAUCUUGACGGUACCUAAUCAGAAAGCCACGGCUAACUACGUG